Molecule: non-coding RNA, 277 nt
Organism: Salvelinus sp. IW2-2015
Lineage: Eukaryota; Metazoa; Chordata; Actinopteri; Salmoniformes; Salmonidae
Source: RefSeq, a predicted model, not a curated record
UGUGUCUGUGUCUGCUACACGGCUGUGACACUGUUUGCAUCCCCACCGUCACACAUCCUCUGGUUUCUUCAGGCUGGCUCUGGAGCACAAAGUUGUCCUCUGUGCAGGAAACAGAAACCCAGCUCUGAAUGCAGCCUGCUGUGGUUUUCUGCAGAGGCUCAGUGUGUCUCUUCUGUCCCAACCAGACCCUGCAGCCAGCAUCCUCCCACAAGACUGUGAGGAGAUAGAGGCUGUGUUGAGGUCCAGCCUGCCCUCUCUGUGUUGCCGUGUGUGUCAG